GCGCGAGCUGGGCAUCGGAGAGCCCACCCGGCUGUAAACCGGGCGCUUCGGCUGUGGCGGUUCGACUCCGUCCUCGCGCACGA
This 83-nucleotide transfer RNA is filed under the name Nonomuraea mesophila. Its description in RNAcentral is "Nonomuraea sp. 6K102 tRNA-Tyr". It matches the Rfam family "tRNA". Rfam says of the family: Transfer RNA (tRNA) molecules are approximately 80 nucleotides in length. Their secondary structure includes four short double-helical elements and three loops (D, anti-codon, and T loops). Further hydrogen bonds mediate the characteristic L-shaped molecular structure. tRNAs have two regions of fundamental functional importance: the anti-codon, which is responsible for specific mRNA codon recognition, and the 3' end, to which the tRNAs corresponding amino acid is attached (by aminoacyl-tRNA synthetases). tRNAs cope with the degeneracy of the genetic code in two manners: having more than one tRNA (with a specific anti-codon) for a particular amino acid; and 'wobble' base-pairing, i.e. permitting non-standard base-pairing at the 3rd anti-codon position. Lineage: Bacteria; Bacillati; Actinomycetota; Actinomycetes; Streptosporangiales; Streptosporangiaceae. The record is from RNAcentral.